CCUACGGGAGGCAGCAGUGAGGAAUAUUGGUCAAUGGACGAGAGUCUGAACCAGCCAAGUAGCGUGAAGGAUGACUGCCCUAUGGGUUGUAAACUUCUUUUAUAUGGGAAUAAAACGUUCCACGUGUGGGAUUUUGUAUGUACCAUAUGAAUAAGGAUCGGCUAACUCCGUGCCAGCAGCCGCGGUAAUACGGAGGAUCCGAGCGUUAUCCGGAUUUAUUGGGUUUACAGGGAGCGUAGGUGGAUUGUUAAGUCAGUUGUGAAAGUUUGCGGCUCAACCGUAAAAUUGCAGUUGAAACUGGCAGUCUUGAGUACAGUAGAGGUGGGCGGAAUUCGUGGUGUAGCGGUGAAAUGCUUAGAUAUCACGAAGAACUCCGAUUGCGAAGGCAGUUCACUGGACUGCAACUGACACUGAGGCUCGAAAGUGUGGGUAUCAAACAGGAUUAGAUACCCCAGUAGUC
This 460-nucleotide ribosomal RNA is filed under the name uncultured bacterium. RNAcentral's name for it is "partial 16S ribosomal RNA". It matches the Rfam family "Bacterial small subunit ribosomal RNA", at positions 338 to 795 of the family's 1533-position model. The record is from RNAcentral.